UUGCAGCGGUGGACUCUUGGACACUGCCUUUGAUUUCAUCCUGAAAAACAAGGGCCUCACUACAGAAGCAAACUAUCCAUACAAGGGAGAAGAUGGUGUCUGCAACAAGAAAAAGUCAGCUCUUUCAGCAGCCAAAAUUGCAGGUAAGCCCAUAAAAAUAUAGAAGAACAAAAUUUUCAAUUGGGCGAGUUGGGUUAAUUAUGACCUACAUCAUUAAUAUAGAGCCAGUCACUUCAAACGAUUAAAAUUUUGAACCCAUAAGCUUGAAAUCUUGACUUCGCCUCUAAUUACAGGAUAUGAAGAUGUACCAGCCAACAGUGAGAAGGCUCUUUUGCAGGCAG
RNAcentral lists this long non-coding RNA (341 nucleotides) under Nicotiana tabacum (common tobacco). RNAcentral's name for it is "long non-coding RNA (NTAB_LNC009062)". Lineage: Eukaryota; Viridiplantae; Streptophyta; Magnoliopsida; Solanales; Solanaceae. The record is from RNAcentral.